AACGCACAUUGCGCCCCCUGGUAUUCCGGGGGGCAUGCCUGUUCGAGCGUCACAAAAAAUACUCAGGCUCAAAGCUUGACGUUGGGCGAUUGGGCUGCCGCACUUGUACCCUGGGACAUAAAGGCCUAACACGCCUCCCUAGCCUUAUUUCUCUGCGGCCCCGCCUCAAAAUAAUUGGCAGCGGCGCGGAGCCCCGAGCGUACCAAGACCCCCAAAGUCUCCGCUCUAGUGGGCUGUCUGCGAUCCGUUUAAGCCCCUACAAAUGACAUAUACAUCAUAAAAUUGACCUCGGAUCAGGUAGGGAUACCCGCUGAACUUAA
Molecule: unclassified non-coding RNA, 320 nt
Filed under: Morchella sp.
Lineage: Eukaryota; Fungi; Ascomycota; Pezizomycetes; Pezizales; Morchellaceae
Also listed under: 2 other names
Description: partial contains 5.8S ribosomal RNA, internal transcribed spacer 2, and large subunit ribosomal RNA
Rfam family: 5.8S ribosomal RNA (bases 1-52)
Source: RNAcentral